CACAGUUGGGGUCUCAGCCGACACAAAGAAUGAAGAAGAACAACUUGAGUUGUUGUUGUUUUUUUUUUCUCUUCUCCUUUUUCCUCCUUCUGGUUUACCUUUUACGACGCAGAGUAGAAAAAGAAAAGGAAAUUGUUCCAACUCCCGAGAAGAACUGGCAACCAUACGAAGCCGUAAUCAUUGUCUCAGACAUGUUGAUGUCUCUUUCUUAAGCGGUCGGGAAGGUUUCGAGUUCACGGCUCAAAUUAUUACAUGCAAUUCAGCUGCAAUCACGCCCACUACUCCAGACAUGUCGGGGAGGCUCUAUUUGUUCAAAUCCAUGUGCAAGGAAGAACAGAGGCAAACUAUGCUGCUCCCCAGCAUUUUGAUGAAGAAAUGUCUCUACUGUUGUAUGCUAAACCUUAAUGCCAUUCAAACAUAAGAAUUUCUGGUGCCAAUGCAAAAAGAAAUAUUCUUAAUUAGAGUUGGAAUAGUUUUUACCUGAAUAAUAACCACAGAAACUGGAAGAGAAAAAUGCAAUUGAGAUCAUCAGAUGUCGCGAUGUUAUGUCUAAUUCUUCCCUUGGAGCCAAUCAAUUAUAAAAAUAUUUUCAAGAAUAACUGGUGCUGUGUGUAACCCAUGGAAGGCGCCAUAACAAUUUAGAAUAUUUCAAGAGAAAAAGAAAAUUUAGACUCGACUAGAAGAAAAAAAAAACUUAAAACAAAUCCAAAAAUAAAGAUGAUUUCAAAAAAAUUCCACUUGGAAAAAAUUCUCUUAGUUGACCCCGAAAAAAACUUGGUUACACACACCGUACACAGGUGAUUAUACCCAAAACAAACAAACCCUUUUUACCCUGAACGUAUGUCAUCGGACUGCGUUGUUGUUUCAAAGUUUUCUCACGCGGGCGGGACUGUAUGUUUGUUUCCCAGUCAUUAUACAAUCAUUAAGAGAGUCAAAGUCUCUUUCUUGACAGACGUAUUCAUACGAUUGAAGAAUUUUUGUUGAGGCUAACUAGAUUUUUGGUGGGCGAACGUUACACGACACGGACCACCAGUGUUCCAGCUGGAUGUUCAACUAUCGAUGCAGAGAACAAGUUUUUUUCGGUACCUACGAUACUAUACGUGGAACAAAAGCAGCUGAAAUCAGAUUGCUCUUGUUUCAUUUCAUCUUGUAAUAAAAUAUUUGUUGAAUGUAGAGCUUCUAUAGUUUUAUGACAGUUGUUUUAUCGAAAUCGUUCAUCGCCUCGUGAGAAAUAUGCGAAGAAAACGACGUGGCCACCCGGAAUUUCGAAUUGACGUCACUCUUUUUUUUCUUUUCUUGUUUGACGAAUGGAAUAACUUUGAAUACAAUCUGGCCUUUUCUGAA
Molecule: long non-coding RNA, 1344 nt
Organism: Daphnia magna
Lineage: Eukaryota; Metazoa; Arthropoda; Branchiopoda; Diplostraca; Daphniidae
Exons: 4
Source: RefSeq, a predicted model, not a curated record